This is a long non-coding RNA of Astatotilapia calliptera (eastern happy), 1220 nucleotides long. Lineage: Eukaryota; Metazoa; Chordata; Actinopteri; Cichliformes; Cichlidae. The record is from Ensembl.
GGAUAUUAUACAUGGCUAUGCUGAGGAUAUGUUGGCCAAUUUCCACUGGAAAUGCCUUUUGGUUAAACUGUCAGCAAGGAAUUUGCACUGUCACAUUUUUAUAUAACUUUAAUGCACAAAAAAAAAAAAAAGCUGCUUGUUUAAGUGAAAAUACAUUGAUGGGGUUUUCUGCACUAAUAAAGUUGUGGAGUUGUAAAGUGUUUUGUCUAGUGUCAAUUAUAUCGUCAGUUAUAUUGUUAUCGCAAAUUUUCAAAUGUAUAUCAUUUAUCACAUUUUUCAAAUGUGAUAAAUAUUUUUGGUCAUAUCGCCCUGCUCAAUUGGGCAGUGCAUUUAUCACGACAUGUAAUGUGUUUUCUGGAUACACUGUGCUUUUUCAGUGUUCAAAGAUUGAUGGCUCCGUGUCAGAGCACUGGCUAUGAAUUUCAGAUGGAUCAGGCCUUAACUUAACCUCUUACUUUUGCAGCAAAACAGCAAAAGUAAGAGGGAAUUCAUGACGAUGUUUGUUAAAUGUGAAGCGUAGUUUCAGAGGUUUUUUUUUUAGUUUUUUUUUAGACGCCCCAUUAAAAAAUUUUGUCGCACUCUGGAGUCCUGCAACUAGGUCCAAGGUGGUGGAGCAUGAGGAUAACAUAGCAUUCAUAACUUCAUCAGCCGAGGGGGGAGUACGACACUUGGGGUCCAUCAUAUCAAAGACAGUAGUGAAAUUAGCCACAAUCUCAGAGUUGAUUACACGUACAGGGCAACAGAGAUCAGCAGUGUUCAUGUGUGUUACACCUAAGGCAGCAAUAAACGUAACCAGAUGAUGAUCAGAGAUGCCAACAUUGUCAAUGUCCUUAAUGUCCUUGAAGCUAGAGAAUGUAGAAAAAGGCAGUCGCUGAAGUUUACGUUUAUUUUUAAAAACCGUUGCUAUGCCUCCACCCUUCCCUGAAAGUCUCGGUUAGCUGAAAAAAACACAGUCAGGGGAAGGAGUUCAGAGAAGUAGAAAAGCUAACUGGGGCAAAUCCAAGUUUCGGUCAGGAACAAAACAUCCAGGUGCAGGGUGAGAAAAAGAUCAUUUAGGAUGAAGGUUUUAUUCACCAGUGAUCUUGUGUUAAGCAACGCCAUAACGCUCUUAGUCACCUUGUCCCUGACAGAGGCGCGUCUCAGCUUGCCUGUGUUGAGCGCAAGUCCCAAAGGUCCCAAUCCAGGUCCGAAGCGAUGAGCACACCACUGGAAAGGCCAGA